Molecule: unclassified non-coding RNA, 207 nt
Filed under: Hevea brasiliensis (rubber tree)
Lineage: Eukaryota; Viridiplantae; Streptophyta; Magnoliopsida; Malpighiales; Euphorbiaceae
Source: RNAcentral
AAAAGUCAUCAAAAUCGGCCAGAGAAAAGUUAGGCAUUGAAAGGGCUCUUCAAAUUAUUACUCUUGACAUGUCUCAGAUUUUGUAUGAUUCAAAACCACUUUCUUUCUUCUGCUCACGCAACAGUUGACACUUUCCUUUCACAUCUGAGUUGUUCGUGAUCUACAUUCAUUCAAAAGUUUGUAUUUUUUUUUUAUUAGUUGAUCCUA